AUUGAACGCUGGCGGCAGGCCUAACACAUGCAAGUCGAGCGGAUGAAGGGAGCUUGCUCCUGGAUUCAGCGGCGGACGGGUGAGUAAUGCCUAGGAAUCUGCCUGGUAGUGGGGGAUAACGUCCGGAAACGGGCGCUAAUACCGCAUACGUCCUGAGGGAGAAAGUGGGGGAUCUUCGGACCUCACGCUAUCAGAUGAGCCUAGGUCGGAUUAGCUAGUUGGUGGGGUAAAGGCCUACCAAGGCGACGAUCCGUAGCUGGUCUGAGAGGAUGAUCAGUCACACUGGAACUGAGACACGGUCCAGACUCCUACGGGAGGCAGCAGUGGGGAAUAUUGGACAAUGGGCGAAAGCCUGAUCCAGCCAUGCCGCGUGUGUGAAGAAGGUCUUCGGAUUGUAAAGCGCUUUAGGUUGGGAGGAAGGGCAGUAAGUUAAUACCUUGCUGUUUUGACGUUACCGACAGAAUAAGCACCGGCUAACUUCGUG
RNAcentral lists this ribosomal RNA (484 nucleotides) under uncultured bacterium. Its description in RNAcentral is "partial 16S ribosomal RNA". It matches the Rfam family "Bacterial small subunit ribosomal RNA", at positions 30 to 507 of the family's 1533-position model. The record is from RNAcentral.